This 469-nucleotide ribosomal RNA is filed under the name uncultured bacterium. Its description in RNAcentral is "partial 16S ribosomal RNA". It matches the Rfam family "Bacterial small subunit ribosomal RNA", at positions 28 to 507 of the family's 1533-position model. The record is from RNAcentral.
GGCGAACGCUGGCGGCGUGCUUAACACAUGCAAGUCGAACGGAAAGGCCCUGCUUGCAGGGUGCUCGAGUGGCGAACGGGUGAGUAACACGUGGGUGAUCUGCCCCUUACUUUGGGAUAAGCCUGGGAAACUGGGUCUAAUACUGGAUAGGACCAUGCUGUAGGUGGUGUGGUGGAAAGAUUAGUUUCGGUAAGGGAUGAGCUCGCGGCCUAUCAGCUUGUUGGUGGGGUAAUGGCCUACCAAGGCGUCGACGGGUAGCCGGCCUGAGAGGGUGGACGGCCACAUUGGGACUGAGAUACGGCCCAGACUCCUACGGGAGGCAGCAGUGGGGAAUAGUGCACAAUGGGCGCAAGCCUGAUGCAGCGACGCCGCGGGGGGGAUGACGGCCUUCGGGUUGUAAACUCCUUUCAGCCAUGACGAAGCCCUUGUGGUGACGGUAGUGGUAGAAGAAGCACCGGCUAACUACGUG